Molecule: ribosomal RNA, 292 nt
Filed under: uncultured bacterium
Lineage: Bacteria
Description: partial 16S ribosomal RNA
Rfam family: Bacterial small subunit ribosomal RNA
Source: RNAcentral
GUGUCAGCAGCCGCGGUAACACGUAGGAUCCAAGCGUUAUCCGGAUUUACUGGGCGUAAAGCGCGUGUAGGUGGUUUGCUAAGUUGGGUGUUAAAUCUCUCGGCUCAACUGAGAGGUGUCGCUCAAAACUAGCAGACUGGAGGACGGUAGAGGAAGGUAGAAUUCCGGGUGUAGUGGUGAAAUGCGUAGAUAUCCGGAGGAAUACCAGUGGCGAAGGCGGCCUUCUGGACCGUUCCUGACACUCAGACGCGAAAGCUAGGGGAGCAAACGGGAUUAGAUACCCUCGUAGUCC